UUGCAGGGUUGGAGGUCGGAUGUGGAAGGCGCGCUCCGCGCAGCCCGUGUCUCAACUGUCGGAUGGCAACCCUCCCCUCCCCCCAAAGCUUAAGGACACUGAGUUGGCGCGGGCGAAACUGUGAAGAAACAGGCGCUCUGACACGUUGCCGGUGGAACUCCAAAAUGGUAACCGUUUAAGUCACCCAGGAUUAGGGUGGCCCAUAACUUACUGCUGAGACUGAACCACUUCUGAGAGUACCAGAAUGUUAACUGGAUGAGAAAGCAAGAAACAGCCCUGAACACUCAUGAAGGAGGCUACUCCAUCAGAGAGAGAGACCACAUGAAGGAGCACUGAGACAUCAGCCAUGAGGUGACGAUGCCAUCUUGGACACCCAGCCCCAUCAAACCUGCAGAAGAUCCCAGCCCCAGUUCUUAUCCAAAUGCAGGUACACCUGAGAGCAUGGAGAACCACCCAGAUGCAUCAACCCACAGAUUCCUGAGAGAUCAUGAUAAAUAGCUGUAUCAAGACUCUAAGUUCUGGUUUGUGCUCAAGGCUUCUUGGGGACCUCUGUGUCUCAUGUUUGUGUUGUAGUAAAGCUUUGUGCUUUGACUUUUAAAAUAUAAACUGAUAAAAACAA
Leopardus geoffroyi (Geoffroy's cat) is the source of this 619-nucleotide long non-coding RNA. RefSeq lists it as uncharacterized. The record is from RefSeq and is a predicted model, not a curated record. Lineage: Eukaryota; Metazoa; Chordata; Mammalia; Carnivora; Felidae. The transcript is spliced from 3 exons.